Schistosoma mansoni is the source of this 78-nucleotide non-coding RNA. Lineage: Eukaryota; Metazoa; Platyhelminthes; Trematoda; Strigeidida; Schistosomatidae. The record is from Rfam.
AGCCUCCUGAAUCCGUGCAGAGAUUUCGUCAGACACCAACCUAUUAGGGCUGAUGAGACUUCCAAGAUAUGUGAAGUU